CACCGCGGUUAUACGAGAGGCCCAAGUUGACAAACGCCGGCGUAAAGCGUGGUUAAGCUAAAAAUUUUGCUAAAGUUAAACAUCUUCAAGGCUGUUAUACGUAACCGAAGACAGGAAACACAACCACGAAAGUGACUUUACCUAAGCUGAAUCCACGAAAGCUAAGGAA
This 169-nucleotide ribosomal RNA is filed under the name Rheopresbe kazika. Its description in RNAcentral is "partial 12S ribosomal RNA". Lineage: Eukaryota; Metazoa; Chordata; Actinopteri; Perciformes; Cottidae. The record is from RNAcentral.